CUCAAGAACGAACGCUGGCGGCAUGCCUAACACAUGCAAGUCGAACGAACCCUUCGGGGUUAGUGGCGCACGGAUGCGUAACACGUGGGAAUCUGCCCUUUGCUUCGGAAUAACAGUUAGAAAUGACUGCUAAUACCGGAUGAUGUCGUAAGACCAAAGAUUUAUCGGCAAAGGAUGAGCCCGCGUAGGAUUAGGUAGUUGGUGGGGUAAAGGCCUACCAAGCCGACGAUCCUUAGCUGGUCUGAGAGGAUGAUCAGCCACACUGGGACUGAGACACGGCCCAGACUCCUACGGGAGGCAGCAGUGGGGAAUAUUGGACAAUGGGCGAAAGCCUGAUCCAGCAAUGCCGCGUGAGUGAUGAAGGCCUUCGGGUUGUAAAGCUCUUUUACCAGGGAUGAUAAUGACAGUACCUGGAGAAUAAGCUCCGGCUAACUCCGUG
This 439-nucleotide ribosomal RNA is filed under the name uncultured bacterium. Its description in RNAcentral is "bacterial SSU rRNA". It matches the Rfam family "Bacterial small subunit ribosomal RNA", at positions 26 to 507 of the family's 1533-position model. The record is from RNAcentral.